AGCGAACGCUGGCGGCGUACUUAACACAUGCAAGUCGUACGAGGAUCGUCGGGUUAGCAAUAAUUCGGCGGUUCGAGUGGCGCACGGGUGAGUAACACGUGGGUAACCCACCCUUGAGACCGGGAUACCCUCUCGAAAGGGAGGCUAAUACUGGAUACGUUCCCUGGGACGCAAGAUCUGGGGAGGAAAGGUGGCGAAAGCUGCCGCUCUUGGAGGGGCUCGCGGCCUAUCAGCUAGUUGGUGAGGUAACGGCUCACCAAGGCUAUGACGGGUAGCUGGUCUGAGAGGACGACCAGCCACACGGGAACUGAGACACGGUCCCGACUCCUACGGGAGGCAG
Molecule: ribosomal RNA, 340 nt
Filed under: uncultured Nitrospirota bacterium
Lineage: Bacteria; Pseudomonadati; Nitrospirota
Description: bacterial SSU rRNA
Rfam family: Bacterial small subunit ribosomal RNA
Source: RNAcentral